AUAUAUCCAUCACAGAACAAGACACUCCUCCUGGAUCCACUUGGAGAAACUGCUGCCAAGUUAAAAAGGUGCCAGGAUGCAUCAAGGGCACUCAUGAGGAGAAAAGGGAUAUGUCAAGGUGGAAAUGUGACACAGUGCCUCAUCCCCACCAACCAGACAGCACGUCCUGUGGUGUUUUUGCCAUUGUGUUUGCAGAGAAAAUCUUACACAAUCAGCCAGUCACAUUUCCUGCUUCCCCAAAGGAUGUGUCAGAUUUGCGGUGGCAGACUGCCACUACUCUUCUC
This is a long non-coding RNA of Melanotaenia boesemani (Boeseman's rainbowfish), 284 nucleotides long. RefSeq lists it as uncharacterized. The record is from RefSeq and is a predicted model, not a curated record. Lineage: Eukaryota; Metazoa; Chordata; Actinopteri; Atheriniformes; Melanotaeniidae. The transcript is spliced from 3 exons.